Molecule: non-coding RNA, 293 nt
Organism: Schizosaccharomyces pombe (fission yeast)
Lineage: Eukaryota; Fungi; Ascomycota; Schizosaccharomycetes; Schizosaccharomycetales; Schizosaccharomycetaceae
Source: the annotation of a GenBank genome assembly
CUUUAAUUUGAACAAAUACGCGAAAGUAAAAAUCAAUACUUAGGGAAAGUAGCGGCUUGAUAGCGCGACCAUAUUUUGCAGCAGAAGCUGCAAUAGCAUAAAGCAAAUGACGAACAGCCUGCUCAUGACAAAAAUUAGAGCGCAAAGAGGACCCACCAUAAUUAGAAAAGCAUUUCUCUGGAUAUGCAUUACCGGCUAGAACAGCUGAAUCAGUACAUGUGAUGCAUAGAAGACCGUCCUUUGAAACGGAUUGUACAGCAGCAUCCAGAAACGGGGCAGCAGAUCCAUAAGGA